RNAcentral lists this ribosomal RNA (255 nucleotides) under uncultured bacterium. RNAcentral describes it as "partial 16S ribosomal RNA". It matches the Rfam family "Bacterial small subunit ribosomal RNA", at positions 524 to 776 of the family's 1533-position model. The record is from RNAcentral.
UACGGGGGGGAGCAAGCGUUGUUCGGAUUUACUGGGCGUAAAGGGCGCGUAGGCGGCCAGCACAAGUCAGUUGUGAAAUCUCCGGGCUUAACUCGGAAAGGUCAACUGAUACUGUGCGGCUAGAGUGCAGAAGGGGCAACUGGAAUUCUCGGUGUAGCGGUGAAAUGCGCAGAUAUCAGGAGGAACACCGGUGGCGAAGGCGGGUCUCUGGGCCGUAACUGACGCUGAGGAGCGAAAGCGUGGGGAGCGAACAGG